This 441-nucleotide ribosomal RNA is filed under the name uncultured soil bacterium. Its description in RNAcentral is "bacterial SSU rRNA". It matches the Rfam family "Bacterial small subunit ribosomal RNA", at positions 26 to 518 of the family's 1533-position model. The record is from RNAcentral.
AGAACGAACGCUGGCGGCAUGCCUAAUACAUGCAAGUCGAACGAACACUUCGGUGUUAGUGGCGCACGGGUGCGUAACGCGUGGGAAUCUGCCCUUGGGUUCGGAAUAACAGUUGGAAACGACUGCUAAUACCGGAUGAUAUCGAAAGAUCAAAGAUUUAUCGCCCAGGGAUGAGCCCGCGUAGGAUUAGCUAGUUGGUGAGGUAAAGGCUCACCAAGGCGACGAUCCUUAGCUGGUCUGAGAGGAUGAUCAGCCACACUGGGACUGAGACACGGCCCAGACUCCUACGGGAGGCAGCAGGUGGGGAAUAUUGGACAAUGGGCGAAAGCCUGAUCCAGCAAUGCCGCGUGAGUGAUGAAGGCCGUUAGGGUUGUAAAGCUCUUUACCGGAUGAUAUGACAGUACCGGAGAAUAAGCCCGCUAACUCCGUGCCAGCAGCCGC